UACGUAGGGUGCAAGCGUUAUCCGGAAUUAUUGGGCGUAAAGAGCUCGUAGGCGGUUUGUCGCGUCUGCUGUGAAAACCCGAGGCUCAACCUCGGGCCUGCAGUGGGUACGGGCAAACUAGAGUGCGGUAGGGGAGAUUGGAAUUCCUGGUGUAGCGGUGGAAUGCGCAGAUAUCAGGAGGAACACCGAUGGCGAAGGCAGAUCUCUGGGCCGUAACUGACGCUGAAACACGAAAGCGUGGGUAGCAAACAGG
Molecule: ribosomal RNA, 253 nt
Filed under: uncultured bacterium
Lineage: Bacteria
Description: partial 16S ribosomal RNA
Rfam family: Bacterial small subunit ribosomal RNA
Source: RNAcentral